GACGAACGCUGGCGGCGUGCUUAACACAUGCAAGUCGAACGGAAAGGCCCUGCUUUUGUGGGGUGCUCGAGUGGCGAACGGGUGAGUAACACGUGAGUAACCUGCCCUUGACUUUGGGAUAACUUCAGGAAACUGGGGCUAAUACCGGAUAGGAGCUCCUGCUGCAUGGUGGGGGUUGGAAAGUUUCGGCGGUUGGGGAUGGACUCGCGGCUUAUCAGCUUGUUGGUGGGGUAGUGGCUUACCAAGGCUUUGACGGGUAGCCGGCCUGAGAGGGUGACCGGCCACAUUGGGACUGAGAUACGGCCCAGACUACUAAGGGAGGCAGCAGUGGGGAAUAUUGCACAAUGGGCGGAAGCCUGAUGCAGCAACGCCGCGUGCGGGAUGACGGCCUUCGGGUUGUAAACCGCUUUCGCCUGUGACGAAGCGUGAGUGACGGUAAUGGGUAAAGAAGCACCGGCUAACUACGUG
Molecule: ribosomal RNA, 468 nt
Filed under: uncultured bacterium
Lineage: Bacteria
Description: partial 16S ribosomal RNA
Rfam family: Bacterial small subunit ribosomal RNA
Source: RNAcentral